RNAcentral lists this ribosomal RNA (496 nucleotides) under uncultured bacterium. Its description in RNAcentral is "bacterial SSU rRNA". It matches the Rfam family "Bacterial small subunit ribosomal RNA", at positions 30 to 524 of the family's 1533-position model. The record is from RNAcentral.
AUUGAACGCUGGCGGUAUGCUUAACACAUGCAAGUCGAACGGUAACAGGCCUUCGGGCGCUGACGAGUGGCGGACGGUGAGUAACGCGUAGGAAUCUGCCUCAUAGUGGGGACAACGUGGGGAAACUCACGCUAAUACCGCAUACGCCCUACGGGGGAAAGCGGGGGAUCUUCGGACCUCGCGCUAUGAGAUGAGCCUGCGUUAGAUUAGCUAGUUGGUAGGGUAAAGGCCUACCAAGGCGACGAUCUAUAGCUGGUCUGAGAGGACGAUCAGCCACACUGGGGACUGAGACACGGCCCAGACUCCUACGGGAGGCAGCAGUGGGGAAUAUUGGACAAUGGGCGCAAGCCUGAUCCAGCAUACCGCGUGUGUGAAGAAGGCCUUAGGGUUGUAAAGCACUUUCAAUUGGGAGGAAAACCUGCCGGUCAAUACCCGGCAGCUUGACAUUACCUUUAGAAGAAGCACCGGCUAACUCCGUGCCAGCAGCCGCGGUAAU